AUUACUUUGGCAGAUUAGUGCAUUAAAUUUAGAAUUUAAUUAAGAAAUUUUAUUUUAAUUUUCAGGUAGUA
RNAcentral lists this transfer RNA (71 nucleotides) under Janus compressus. RNAcentral describes it as "tRNA-Leu". The record is from RNAcentral. Lineage: Eukaryota; Metazoa; Arthropoda; Insecta; Hymenoptera; Cephidae.